This 253-nucleotide ribosomal RNA is filed under the name uncultured bacterium. RNAcentral's name for it is "partial 16S ribosomal RNA". It matches the Rfam family "Bacterial small subunit ribosomal RNA", at positions 524 to 776 of the family's 1533-position model. The record is from RNAcentral.
UACGAAGGGGGCUAGCGUUGCUCGGAAUCACUGGGCGUAAAGCGCACGUAGGCGGCUUUUUAAGUCAGGGGUGAAAUCCUGGAGCUCAACUCCAGAACUGCCUUUGAUACUGAGGAUCUUGAGUUCGGGAGAGGUGAGUGGAACUGCGAGUGUAGAGGUGAAAUUCGUAGAUAUUCGCAAGAACACCAGUGGCGAAGGCGGCUCACUGGCCCGGUACUGACGCUGAGGUGCGAAAGCGUGGGGAGCAAACAGG